RNAcentral lists this ribosomal RNA (251 nucleotides) under uncultured bacterium. RNAcentral describes it as "partial 16S ribosomal RNA". It matches the Rfam family "Bacterial small subunit ribosomal RNA", at positions 524 to 776 of the family's 1533-position model. The record is from RNAcentral.
UACGGAGGGUGCGAGCGUUGUCCGGAAUCACUGGGCGUAAAGGCGCGUAGGCGGCCUGAUAAGUAGGGGGUGAAAUCCUGCGGCUUAACCGCAGGGCUGCCUUCUAAACUGUCAGGCUCGAGCACAGUAGAGGCAGGUGGAAUUCCCGGUGUAGCGGUGGAAUGCGUAGAGAUCCGGAAGAACACCAGUGGCGAAGGCGCCCGCUGGGCAGUGGCUGACGCUGAGGCGCGACAGCGUGGGGAGCAAACAGG